Molecule: ribosomal RNA, 107 nt
Filed under: Ascaris lumbricoides (common roundworm)
Lineage: Eukaryota; Metazoa; Nematoda; Chromadorea; Rhabditida; Ascarididae
Description: partial 18S ribosomal RNA
Rfam family: Eukaryotic small subunit ribosomal RNA
Source: RNAcentral
AUGGCCUAUAAAGGUGAAACCGCGAACGGCUCAUUACAACAGCUAUUAUAUACUUGAUCUUGAUAUCCUACGUGGAUAACUGUGGUAAUUCUAGAGCUAAUACAUGC